This 76-nucleotide transfer RNA is filed under the name Rickettsiales bacterium. RNAcentral's name for it is "tRNA-His". It matches the Rfam family "tRNA". Rfam says of the family: Transfer RNA (tRNA) molecules are approximately 80 nucleotides in length. Their secondary structure includes four short double-helical elements and three loops (D, anti-codon, and T loops). Lineage: Bacteria; Pseudomonadati; Pseudomonadota; Alphaproteobacteria; Rickettsiales. The record is from RNAcentral.
GCGAGUGUAGCUCAUCUGGCAGAGCGCAGGUUUGUGGUAUCUGAUGUAGCCGGUUCGACCCCGGUCACUCGCCCCA